CAGUAUUACAGCUCUUUUUGAAUUUGCCUAUCGGGUUCUUUGCCCUCUACUGGAAGACCCUU
Molecule: small nuclear RNA, 62 nt
Filed under: Otolemur garnettii (small-eared galago)
Lineage: Eukaryota; Metazoa; Chordata; Mammalia; Primates; Galagidae
Description: U7 small nuclear RNA (ENSOGAG00000023159.1)
Source: RNAcentral